This is a non-coding RNA of Chiloscyllium plagiosum (whitespotted bambooshark), 251 nucleotides long. NCBI's taxonomy places the organism in Eukaryota, Metazoa, Chordata, Chondrichthyes, Orectolobiformes, Hemiscylliidae. The record is from RefSeq and is a predicted model, not a curated record.
GGCCAAGCCAUCAUAAGCAUGAAUACUGUUGGGGAAAUGUUGGCGUGAUGUCAAUUUGCCCUUUAUUGAGACCCCCUACAGUAUGGAAGCAGGCCCUUCAGCCCAUCGAGCCCACACCAUUUUUUUGGCAGCAGUUGGAGUGGGAGGAGUGACAACGAGGACCAGAGGCUCAACGGGAAGGGGUAAAUGGAAAUUCCAGACUCGGCACAAAACUCCACCAUACUAGCAGGGGUGUGACUAAGGGAAUCCAG